CAGCCGCCGCGGUAAAACGUAGGGUGCGAGCGUUAAUCGGAAUUACUGGGCGUAAAGCGUGCGCAGGCGGUUCGUUAAGUCUGUUGUGAAAGCCCCGGGCUCAACCUGGGAAUGGCAGUGGAUACUGGCGAGCUAGAGUGUGUCAGAGGAUGGUGGAAUUCCCGGUGUAGCGGUGAAAUGCGUAGAGAUCGGGAGGAACAUCAGUGGCGAAGGCGGCCAUCUGGGACAACACUGACGCUGAGGCACGAAAGCGUGGGGAGCAAACAGGAUUAGAUACCCCAGUAGUCCCUGUCUCUUAUAC
Molecule: ribosomal RNA, 301 nt
Filed under: uncultured bacterium
Lineage: Bacteria
Description: partial 16S ribosomal RNA
Rfam family: Bacterial small subunit ribosomal RNA
Source: RNAcentral